UUGGUCUUAACGGAGCCACAUCUCCUUAAUAAUAUCGAAUAAAAAUUUUCAGUUUUUGUGCAGUAAAAAUGUUUAGACAAUUUUACACUAGUUAGGGCUACUUCUUAUAAGGGGGUUUACACGUUUCAUACAAAACACAUUGCAAAACCGGUGAGUGGGCGAUGACCAGCUGCCAUCUUUUUUAUUGCUUCAUGGAUUCAAAAAGGCAAAAAGGGCUUAUUUCGACAAACUUACAAUCACACACCUGCCAAUCUUAUUCUUCUGCCGUCUGAUCUAAGCUAAUACAAGUUAUUCUGACACGUUUUAUAGCAUUAUAAAAUCGACGAAUGGAAGUUCGCCAGCGUCGUCGUGAUUUGGGACCAUGACGACUUCAUUACAUGACAAAACGCAAACACACACUCAUUCAAAGCUGCUACAAGGUUGGUAUCUACGAUUAUGGAACCUUUAGGCUUAUUUCGACAAACUUACAAUCACACACCUGCCAAUCUCAUUCUUCUGCAAUCCGAUCUGAGCUAAUACAAGGUAUUCUAACACAUUUCAUAGCAUUACAAAAUCGACGAAUGGAAGUUCGCCAGCUGCCACCCAUUUGAUUGCUUUCAAGGAAUCAAAAGGGCAGAAUGUCGUCGUGAUUUGGGACCAUGACGACUUCGUUACAUGACAAGACGUAAAAACACACACUCAUUCAAAGCUACUACAAGCUUACAUGGAGCUGGGCGAUUCCAUUCCGAUUUUGUAAAGCAUCAGCAUAUUGAAUAUAUCGAUUUAUACAAUCGCACCUUUUUCGUACACAUUAAUAAUUGUUAGAAGCUACACUAUCCACUACUAUUAAUGUUAAGUAAAUAAACAAAUUGGGUCGCA
Molecule: long non-coding RNA, 858 nt
Organism: Drosophila mauritiana
Lineage: Eukaryota; Metazoa; Arthropoda; Insecta; Diptera; Drosophilidae
Exons: 8
Source: RefSeq, a predicted model, not a curated record